GUAAGCGACGGGGAGGGCGGAGGGGGAGGCCGGGGGGGGCCGCGGGUGGUCGGGAGUACUGGGCGUAAAGGGUCCGUAGGGGGUGCGGUAAGUGGGGAGUGAAAUCUCUGGGCUUAACGCAGAGGCUGCUUCCGAAACUACCGUGCUAGAGUGCGAGAGAGGCAAGUGGAAUUGCGGGUGUAGCGGUGAAAUGCGUAGAUAUCCGCAGGAACAUCCGAGGCGAAAGCGGCUUGCUGGAUCGCAACUGACGCUGAGGGACGAAAGCUAGGGGAGCAAACAGGAUUAGAUACCCUGGUAGUC
Molecule: ribosomal RNA, 300 nt
Filed under: uncultured Pyrobaculum sp.
Lineage: Archaea; Thermoproteati; Thermoproteota; Thermoprotei; Thermoproteales; Thermoproteaceae
Description: bacterial SSU rRNA
Rfam family: Bacterial small subunit ribosomal RNA (bases 57-300)
Source: RNAcentral